Dendronephthya gigantea is the source of this 863-nucleotide long non-coding RNA. RefSeq lists it as uncharacterized. The transcript has 3 exons. NCBI's taxonomy places the organism in Eukaryota, Metazoa, Cnidaria, Anthozoa, Malacalcyonacea, Nephtheidae. The record is from RefSeq and is a predicted model, not a curated record.
GUAACAUGUCAAACAUUUGUCAAACAUGGACGAUAGUGGAAGGAGAUCGAGAGAUGAUCCAACUUUUAAAGCUGGGCAAAAACACUAUUGCUCAAAGAUUCACAUGAGAAAGCUGUUCGGAGAUGAUUCGAAACGUUUUGACAAAUUUAGUUUGUCAGUGGCUAUACCUCUGAUGGGGAAAUACUCUUGGAUUACUCAAAAAAUAUAAUUACAGAGGAAACAAUGAAACUUUUGUUUGAGCUGGCUGAAAGUAGAAAUGUUCUGGCGGCUCGGGAAAGGUUAUUUUCUUGUGAAAAGAUAAAUUUUACUGAGGUAACGAUAUAUAACCAUACCAUAUAGCUACAUCGUGUUUCAAAAACGUAAACCCUUUAUCAUCCUGUAUCAAGCCUCUUUAUAAAUACCUAUAAUUUUAUGCACUAUGACAGGUUGAAGAUUAUAAUGUUACAAACAUUAUAUAAUCUUCAACGUGAGAAAACAUCGCCUUUUUUAAAUGGAUCAAAACCUCUAUAAUGGCUAAUUAAUAUCCCGUAACACAAAACACUUCAAAGUAUUUUUUUGUAUAUCAAUAGAUUUAAUCUAUUUUCUAUGUUCUAAUGUGUAGAAAAGAGCAGUUCUUCAGGUUGCUCUUCGUAAUCGUUCCAACACACCCAUUUUUGUUGAUAGUAAAAAUGUAUGUAUAGAACUUUGAAUAUACAUUCACCCAUAUCACCUCGAAACGAAAUUUGAAUAUACGUACCGCUUUUAUAGAUUAUCGGCGGCUGCCUUUAAGUAUUAAAUUAAUAUAUAAUCAUAAAUUAAUAUUGUGUUUCUGUGUUUUCUAGCCCGGUUUAUAUGUUAUUUUUAGGAAAGGUGUGCAACUUUUU